GUGCUUGCUUCAGCGGCACAUAUACUAAAAUUGAAACGAUACAGAGAAGAUUAGCAUGGCCCCUGAGUAAGGAUGACACGCAAAUUCAUGAAGCGGUCCAUAUUUUU
Molecule: small nuclear RNA, 107 nt
Organism: Echinops telfairi (small Madagascar hedgehog)
Lineage: Eukaryota; Metazoa; Chordata; Mammalia; Afrosoricida; Tenrecidae
Source: Ensembl